Molecule: small RNA, 259 nt
Filed under: Otolemur garnettii (small-eared galago)
Lineage: Eukaryota; Metazoa; Chordata; Mammalia; Primates; Galagidae
Description: Metazoan signal recognition particle RNA (ENSOGAG00000033989.1)
Source: RNAcentral
GCCAGGCGUUGUGGCGGGCACCUGUGGUCCCAGCUACUUGGGAGGCGGAGGCAGGAGACUCGCUUGAGCCCAGGAGUUGGAGGUUGCUGUGAGCUAUAAUGCCACGGCACUCUACCCAGGGGGACAGCUUGAGGCUCUGUCUCAAAAAAAAAAAAAAAAAAAAAAAAAGACAGAGUCUCAUUUUAUUGCCCUUAGUAGAGUGCAGUGGAGUCACAGCUCAUAGCAAUCUCCAACUCCUAGGCUUAGGCGAUUCUCCUGU